RNAcentral lists this long non-coding RNA (1264 nucleotides) under Homo sapiens (human). Its description in RNAcentral is "non-protein coding lnc-CDRT15L2-5:1". The record is from RNAcentral. Lineage: Eukaryota; Metazoa; Chordata; Mammalia; Primates; Hominidae.
ACCACCCCCAAUCAUUGGAAGAUUUGGAACUUCACUGAAAAUUGGUAUUGGUGGAUUGCUAAAUGUUGGAAAAUCUACUUUCUUCGAUGUAUUAACCAGUAGUCAGGCUUCAGCAGAAAACUUCCUAUUUGGCACCAUUGAUCCUAAUGAGAGCAGGGUACCUGCGCCAGAUGAAAGGUUUGACUUUCUUUGCCAGUACCACAAACCAGCAAGCAAAAUUCCUGCCUUUCUAAAUAUAGUGGAUACUGCUGGCCUUGUGAAAGGAGCUCACAAUGGGCAGGGCCUGGGGAAUGCUUUUUUUCUUUUUAAUCUCAUAUUAAUGCCUGUGAUGGCAUCUUUCAUGUAACACGUACUUUUGAAGAUGGUGAUAUGACGCAUGUUGAAGGAAGUGUAGAUCUUAUUGGAGAUACAGAAAUAAUACAUGAAGAGCUUCAGCUUAAAGAGGAGGAAAUGAUUGGGUCCAUUACAGAUAAACUAGAAAAGGUGGCUGUGAGAGGAGGAGAUAAAAAACUAAAACCUCUUUGGGAGGCCGAGGUGGGCAGAUCACCAGGUCAGGAGUUCAAGACCAGCCUGGCCAAUAUGGUGAAACCCCAUCUGUACUAAAAAUACAAAAAUUAGCUGGGCAUGGUGGUGCACGCCUGUAAUCCCAGCUAAUCGGGAGGCUGAGGCAGGAGAAUUGCUUGAACCUGGGAGGCGGAGGUGGCAGUGAGCUGAGAUUGUGCCACUGCACUCCAGCCUGGGCAAGACUCCGUCUCAAAAAAAAAAAAAAGAAAGAAAGAAAGAAAGAAAGAAAAACAAAUGGUUGAUAAAAAUAAAAAUAAAUUAAAUAGUGGGUGGACAAGUAUGACCUAGGUGCCUUUGUCGUUCCUUUUAGUGGGGCCUUGGCAAGAAUUGAGUGCUGAGGAGAGACCGGAGUAACUGGAAGCAAACACGACUCAAAGUGCUUUGCCAAAGAUCAUUAAGGCUGGGUCUGCAGCACUCCAACUAGAAUACGUUUUCACUGCAGGCCCAGAUGAAGUGUGUGCAGGGACCAUCAGGAAAGGGACUAAGAAUCCUCAGGCUGCAGGAAAGAUUCACACAAAUUUUGAAAAGAGAUUCAUUAUGGCUGAAGUAAUGAAAUACGAAGAUUUUAAAUGGGAAGGUUCUGAAAUGCAGUCAAGGCUGCCGGAAAGUACAGACAACAAGGCAGAAAUUAUAUUGUUGAAGAUGGAGAUAUUAUCUUCUUCAAAUUUAACACACCUCAACAACCGAAGAAGAAAGAUAA